RNAcentral lists this ribosomal RNA (467 nucleotides) under uncultured bacterium. RNAcentral's name for it is "partial 16S ribosomal RNA". It matches the Rfam family "Bacterial small subunit ribosomal RNA", at positions 28 to 507 of the family's 1533-position model. The record is from RNAcentral.
GACGAACGCUGGCGGCGUGCUUAACACAUGCAAGUCGAACGGAAAGGCCCUGCUUUUGUGGGGUGCUCGAGUGGCGAACGGGUGAGUAACACGUGAGUAACCUGCCCUUGACUUUGGGAUAACUUCAGGAAACUGGGGCAAUACCGGAUAGGAGCUCCUGCUGCAUGGUGGGGGUUGGAAAGUUUCGGCGGUUGGGGAUGGACUCGCGGCUUAUCAGCUUGUUGGUGGGGUAGUGGCUUACCAAGGCUUUGACGGGUAGCCGGCCUGAGAGGGUGACCGGCCACAUUGGGACUGAGAUACGGCCCAGACUCCUACGGGAGGCAGCAGUGGGGAAUAUUGCACAAUGGGCGGAAGCCUGAUGCAGCAACGCCGCGUGCGGGAUGACGGCCUUCGGGUUGUAAACCGCUUUCGCCUGUGACGAAGCGUGAGUGACGGUAAUGGGUAAAGAAGCACCGGCUAACAACGUG